RNAcentral lists this ribosomal RNA (464 nucleotides) under uncultured bacterium. RNAcentral's name for it is "partial 16S ribosomal RNA". It matches the Rfam family "Bacterial small subunit ribosomal RNA", at positions 29 to 507 of the family's 1533-position model. The record is from RNAcentral.
AUGCACGCUGGCGGCGUGCUUCACCCCUGCCAGUCGCACGGAAAGGCCCAAGCUUGCUUGGGUACUCGAGUGGCGAACGGGUGAGUAACACGUGGGUGAUCUGCCCUGCACUUCGGGAUAAGCCUGGGAAACUGGGUCUAAUACCGGAUAGGACCACAUUUUGGAUGGUGUGGUGGAAAGUUUUUCGGUGUGGGAUGAGCUCGCGGCCUAUCAGCUUGUUGGUGGGGUAAUGGCCUACCAAGGCGUCGACGGGUAGCCGGCCUGAGAGGGUGUACGGCCACAUUGGGACUGAGAUACGGCCCAGACUCCUACGGGAGGCAGCAGUGGGGAAUAUUGCACAAUGGGCGCAAGCCUGAUGCAGCGACGCCGCGUGGGGGAUGACGGCCUUCGGGUUGUAAACUCCUUUCGCUAGGGACGAAGCGCAAGUGACGGUACCUGGAGAAGAAGCACCGGCUAACUACGUG